CCUACGGGGCGCAGCAGUAGGGAAUAUUGCUCAAUGGGGGAAACCCUGAAGCAGCAACGCCGCGUGGAGGAUGAAGGUUUUCGGAUUGUAAACUCCUUUUUUUAGAGAAGAUAAUGACGGUAUCUAACGAAUAAGCACCGGCUCACUCCGUGCCAGCAGCCGCGGUAAUACGGAGGGUGCAAGCGUUACUCGGAAUCACUGGGCGUAAAGAGCGCGUAGGCGGGAUAGCAAGUCAGAUGUGAAAUCCUAUGGCUUAACCAUAGAACUGCAUUUGAAACUGUUAUUCUAGAGUAUGGGAGAGGUAGGUGGAAUGCUUGGUGUAGGGGUAAAAUGCGUAGAGAUCAAGAGGAAUACUCAUUGCGAAGGCGACCUGCUAGAACAUAACUGACGCUGAUGCGCGAAAGCGUGGGGAGCAAACAGGAUUAGAUACCCGGGUAGUC
This 440-nucleotide ribosomal RNA is filed under the name uncultured bacterium. RNAcentral describes it as "partial 16S ribosomal RNA". It matches the Rfam family "Bacterial small subunit ribosomal RNA", at positions 338 to 795 of the family's 1533-position model. The record is from RNAcentral.